RNAcentral lists this long non-coding RNA (565 nucleotides) under Selaginella moellendorffii. Its description in RNAcentral is "long non-coding RNA (SMOE_LNC002033)". Lineage: Eukaryota; Viridiplantae; Streptophyta; Lycopodiopsida; Selaginellales; Selaginellaceae. The record is from RNAcentral.
UUUACCAAUCUCUGCCUCAUAAUCCACAGCUUUGCAAUUUUGAGCUGCAGCCCCAAGUGUUGCUCCUACACCAGCAUCAGGUUACCUGGCACAGCAUCCGAGACACCUGAGAAAGCCUAUAAGCACGCAUCAUUGAAACCGGCCCUCAAAAUCUCAGAAAUUGGAACUAAAUUCUACAUUUGAUGGAAGCAGUAUCGGACUGAAAAAAAAUCCCUCACCAUAUGCUGAAACAACAAUCCCUCACCAAGCCCAGCAGCAAGGGAUUCCUUGACAAAAUCCGGAGAUGAAGAGGGAGUGUCCUUGAUAAUUGCUUUCCUAUAGGCCAAAGAGCUCGUGAGGCAGUGGCAAAUAGGGAUCAAAGCUUUGUUGAGUUGGAGAUGAGCUAAUUUGCCUCUCACAGUCCUGAGUUAAUCCCGAGAGGAGCUUGGAUUGUGUGCCCAACUACCAUUCUGCUUGCCCUUGUUACUUACCACACACAGGCUCUCACGGGGAUACUUACACAACCGUGUCUGAGCAGAGCAGCCAUGGAACCCUAGGAGUGCAUGGCAUAACACCUGUCACCACG